This 77-nucleotide transfer RNA is filed under the name Alphaproteobacteria bacterium. RNAcentral describes it as "tRNA-Arg". It matches the Rfam family "tRNA". From Rfam's summary of the family: Transfer RNA (tRNA) molecules are approximately 80 nucleotides in length. Their secondary structure includes four short double-helical elements and three loops (D, anti-codon, and T loops). RNAcentral also lists the same sequence under 17 other names. The record is from RNAcentral. Lineage: Bacteria; Pseudomonadati; Pseudomonadota; Alphaproteobacteria.
GCGCCCUUAGCUCAGCUGGAUAGAGCGUCUGACUACGAAUCAGAAGGCCGGGAGUUCGAAUCUCUCAGGGCGCGCCA